This 683-nucleotide unclassified non-coding RNA is filed under the name Bombus terrestris (buff-tailed bumblebee). Its description in RNAcentral is "misc RNA ENSBTSG00005024577.1". The record is from RNAcentral. Lineage: Eukaryota; Metazoa; Arthropoda; Insecta; Hymenoptera; Apidae.
AAUCCUCAUUCAGCCAAGAUGUGUGUAUGAACCAUAAAGAAUGCCCGUGGGGUAAGAAAAGAGGAGGCUGGCGCCAACCACCGCUACUUUGAAUGUUGCUUUUAUGGCGCAUACCGCGCCGAUCCAGCCGCGCGGAUACAUUAAUUGGUAUACGUACAGUGUACAGUGCGUGCCAGUGACAGCCACCAAUAGCCAUGGAGUAUCGCGACACGCCGUGCCGUUUCACCUUUCUACCCGUCGUUUCUAUACCUCUUAACCUCUCUCGAUUUAUGGAUAUUCGUUCCACAGGAUUUUAUACCACAUUUUCAAGUACAAAGUUCUUUAUGAAAAUCGGUUGUCGCGUAACACAUAAAAACGAUUGCUGCAAUUAAAAAGUAAAUGGGAAAGAUGUUAUCGAGCUCUGAAGUCGUUGAAGAUUUCGUACACUGUACCGUCGGAAAGCCAUGUGGCUCAUGGCGCCUCGUUUCUUCUCAUCUCCCUCGCAUUAAGAGUCCAACAAGAUGCCAAAAAGGCUACACGUUUCUAACAAUUACGUCAAGCUUGAUACGCUGAUGCAUCCAACAUUGUUUGUAAAUCAUCAUGAGAGAUGACGCCAGGAAUGGCACACGUUAGACAGCGCUAUAAAUUUAUUUAAUAAAUGGCGCCACUGGCAUCAAUUUCAGAUACUUUCUAUUUAUUUUUAA